This 4177-nucleotide long non-coding RNA is filed under the name Marmota monax (woodchuck). The record is from RNAcentral. Lineage: Eukaryota; Metazoa; Chordata; Mammalia; Rodentia; Sciuridae.
GGUAGGGCAAAAACCCUCCCAGGAGGGAGGAAGUUGUUGUUAGGAGCCAGACCUUAGGAGGUAAGGCAGCACCCAGGCUGCUGGGUGGUUGCCAUUCUGUGUAUGUUCUCACACUGGGGCAGGGCUGAAAGCCUUACAGAGAACUGUGGAGAAGUAGCCUUGGCCCCCAUUCUUGGUGGUUGGGGACCCCAGCUGGGCUUCCUGGAGCAGACACCAGCAGCCACUCCUCUGGACUACUGGCAAUUCCAUGGUUGCUCACGAAGAAGGAGGACCCCUGUGCUUGGAACCAGUCUGGCCUUCCUGGACGCAGUGCCCCAGUAAAGAGAGAAGCAAGAGAGUGACAUUUCCUACAGGUCUUCUGUCAAUUUUGGGUUGUUUUUCCAUUGUUGAUAUCUCAGAGGGACUCUCCAGAAAAAAGCCCAGCCAGCUUCUCCAAGGACUCACCCUAUGUUGGGAGUAGAUUUCUGCAUAUGCCUUUGAUUUCACAGAUGAGCUUCACAGCCAUUGAAUAAGCUGCCCGAAUCACAAGACCAAGGGCUGUUGUUUCCUAAAUUGGAGGGAGGCCCUGCCCUCACCUGCUCUUCCCUAGCAGGCCUUCACCCUCUCACCUGACCCUCCAGGAUCCUAGAGGCCUUUCCUGAGAUUCCAGAGCCCUUGUCCCUCACCACACCCUGAUCCUGGCAGCUGUAGCAAACUGCUCAUGUUCUUUGUCAGAGGUCCAUGGUGAGAUUGUUUUGUUUCCUUUUGUUUUGUUUGUGAGUGUGUUUAAAAUCAAAAUUAGAUAUUUUCUUCUGCUGGACAGUAUUAAAUAGAGCAGGAUGUUAAGUUAAUUUGCCAGAUUGCAGUACUAAUGGUAGUGGAUUAGUGUCUUCAUGUUAAUAUUAUUUUUACUUAUUUGAACAAUAAUGAUAAAGAAGUGGUUCAUUAUUUUUUAAUUAAUGCACUUUAAGGUGGAAUGGAAAGAAACCUAGAGAGCAAAGUUCAUUACUUAAAGAUGUAAUAUAUACAUUUCUUAUUUUUAAUAAAUUUUUAUUAAUAAAAAUUCCUAUUUUUAUUAAAUUUUUAAUAAUAUUUUAAUUAUUUUUAAUAAAUAUUUAUUAAAAUUAAAAAGUAAUUUAUGGUUAUUUAAAAAAAACUAUUUGUUGCUACUGCAGUUCUAGAUACUAGUAGAGCUAAAUUCCAAUUGAUAUAUGAAAAUAGGGCCCUGUAUGAUAACUUUGAUCUGCAAUCUGGUAUCAGUAAUCAUAAGGUCUGUAAACCACUGCACUGAAGUUUAGUAAUUCCUAUUUAUUCCAUGCUGGCCAUAAUACAAAGUGCUUAAUUCCAUUUAUCUUAUUUAUUUCUAUAACAACUAUGUGUUUUGAAGUAGGUAUUAUUAAUUCUAUAGCCUAACGGGCUGAUUUAGUUUAAUAAUGUGCUCCAAAUUGUACUCCCAAUGAAUCGUUCAGUCAGAAUUUGAACCCAGCUAGCUUCCAUUUAUUUUACUGUCACAAGAUCUAAGGCUCAUAAUGAGGAAUAUUAAAAAAAGAUAAGUUAAAAUUUUUAAUUUUGACUGCUUAUUAUGUGCCAGGUAAUUCUAAGCCCAUUUCUUAUAGAUCAUCAACACCACAUGACAAUAUAGAUCCAUAUAGGAGUCUGUCUUGACAGAGGAAGGCAGGUAGGUCUAGAGCAAUGGACUUGCCCAGGGCAGAACUAGAGCAGGAGCUGAACAAGCAUCCAGGCAGCUGGCUGCAGAGCCUGCACUCUUCAUGGUGCUAGAAGUUCUGCAGGACUGUAUAAAUGCUCUGGUGGUUACCAUCCAACCACCAUGGCCCAGCUCCCUUCUAUCAAUGUGGAAAAGGGUCCAGGACAGCAAAUCACAGGAGCACUGCAUGGGAAACAAGGAAGAUAGAUCAGCAGCCCCAGGUGAAGAAGGAGGUCAGAUGAGAUGAUGAACCUGCAAGUGAUGCUGGUGUGCACCUGUCUGCAAACCACUGCCCAAGGAUGUUGGAGAAGGACCAGGUGGCAGGGAAGAGGAUUGUGGGCUCUGAACAUAGCUAGUUUCAAAACUGUCAGACAAGUAUCAAGGUUCACUGUUCCACUAUCCCAAGAUUUACAGUACACAAUAAGAAAUGUUGAUAUUAACAAGGUAAUGAUAAAGUGCACUGAGAAUUUAUUAGGUCAGGUACUGUCCUAAGCACUUUUCAUCUCACUCAACAAACUUUUUGUUGAUCUACAAGGUUAUGCAUUAUGAAAUCAAAAUUGGAUAUUUAAUUAAAUGCCAUUCAAGUUUGUUUUGUAAAAAAAAAAUUGACACACACCAGGUACAGUGACAAACAUUUGUAAUCCCAGUGAAGUAGGGGAAUCUCAAGUUCAAGAGCAGCAUGGGCAAUUUAGGGAGAACUCAAAAUAAAAAGGUUUGGGGAAGUAGCUCUGUGGUAAAUCACCCCUGGGUUCAGUUCCUAGUACCAAAGAAAGAAAGAAAGAAAGAAAGAAAGAGAGAGAGAGAGAGAGAGAGAGAGCGAGAGAGAGAGAGAGAGAGAGAGGGAGAGAGAGAGAAAGAAAGAAAGAAAGAAAGAAAGAAAGAAAGAAAGAAAGAAAGAAAGAAAGAAAGAGAGAAAGAAGGAAAGAAAGCCACUUGUCUCUUUUGUCAGGAAACAUUGAGUUCUUGCCCUUUAACCAAAGUCCCCUUGAAAAAAAGAAUUCAAUACAUCUCUAGAUCUUGCUCAGCUUCAAAUUCUUGAACUGCUUUCUGAGUGCAGAAAAUAUUGUGGCCCAAACAGGCCAUGAUGUUCUCUAAGCCUCCUGAGCUCAUUAUGCACAUCACUACAUUUUGUGUUUUGGAACUUAUAAAGACAGUGUGAUGAUUUAAAGUUCCAUUGAUUUUUCAUUCCCAUAAUGAGAAACCAGUCUCUUUUAGUUCAUCUUCAAUACAGUUGUCAAACUGAUAGAAUUAGCCAGAAGCUAUUUCAUUUUCUAGACUGGAGCUAAGUGCUUAAGUAUAGAUAUAGUAUUUCUAACCACAAUGGUUAAAAUAAAAUCUUUACCAUAUAAAUUAUAUGGUUGUAAAAAAGAGCUUGACUUAAAAAAAGAAGUUGUCCUCUGUUAAGCAUAGCUUUUGUUUUCCAAAUGACAAUUGACAGUUUCAUUUUCUAAUAUUUUCCAUAUCAGCCAAAGGUUUCCAACUAUAUUUACAUAUUCUUGUACUAAGAUUUUUGUUUUUGCCAGUUUUUACCAGUGACCAUCAUCGGGAUGCACUUAAACUUCUUUCUGAAUAUUAUUUUUAGUUACAUUUCAUUAUUUAGCUUUUUAAAUAUGUCCAUAGUCUUUUAGGACAUGAGUUUCAACAAGAAAAUUAUACAUUUCCAAUAAAAUUCAAUGCUGAAAAUUUGAACAUUUUAUGUAAUGGUGAAAGAAAUUCGGAACGAUGUUGAAGAUUAAAACAAAAUUAAAGUAUGUGCAACAGAGCAGAAAUAUUUGGAGAGUGAUGAACUAUUACUGGUUUUAACACAAGUAACAUGACUUCUUUAAACCUCACAAAUCAAAGACCAGAUUAAUUGUAUUUCUUUUAUUAUAAAAAGGAUGAUUUAGAAAACUGUUAACUUCCAAAAAUUUGGUACAAUAUAGUUUUUAUUUUUUUAACAGAUAAAGUUUGUUUAUCGUCCAAGGAGUAUUUAUGUUAUCACCAAGGCCACUGUAUACAAACAUAAGAGGGGAGCUUUAUUUCUUGGUCUCUUCCUCCUUGGACAGAGUCUGUAUGAUGUCCACCUCCUUGGCCUGGAGCGCUCCUCCUAGCGCUUGUGUGCUUCCUUGUUCUUAUACCUGCAGGUCUCAGCCUGGUCAGCCAGAAGCUUUUUGUCAGCCUUAUCUGCCUUCAGCUUGUGGAUACCCUCCAUGAGGAUCCACUUGUUUUUGUACAUAUUGCCCUUUACCUUCAGGUAGAGGCUGUGAUACAUGUGGUGGUCAAUGUUAGAUUCACGGUAUCUCUGAGCAGCCUACACAGAAUCUGCAUCCUCUGCACGAAGGUGACCUUUUUCUGCAUUGGAGCAUUAGCUGUACUCCUCUGCUUACCUAUGCCCACAUGUCUGUGCCUCAGGGGAGCCAAGGUAUUUUUCUGGCAUGCAGCCCCAUAAUGGAUAGUCACUGUUUUGUGGAUGAUCAGCCAUUUUUUAUCAGCUUCCAGAUCUGCUGAUGAGAG